GAAAUGCGAUAAGUAAUGUGAAUUGCAGAAUUCCGUGAAUCAUCGAAUCUUUGAACGCACAUUGCGCCCUCUGGCAUUCCGGGGGGCAUGCCUGUCCGAGCGUCAUUACGCACCCUCAAGCCCGGCUUGUGUGAUGGGCCCUGGCGUCUCGUUCGCGAGACGGGCCCGAAAGGCAGCGGCGGCGUCGACCCGAUGAGCCCGAGCGUAUGGGGACUUUGUCACACGUUUGCGGUGCGGACCGGCGCCUGCUUGACUUUUCUGAUUAUCCAGGUUGACCUCGGAUCAGGUAGGGAUACCCGCUGAACUUAAGC
RNAcentral lists this unclassified non-coding RNA (311 nucleotides) under plant metagenome. RNAcentral's name for it is "partial contains 5.8S ribosomal RNA, internal transcribed spacer 2, and large subunit ribosomal RNA". The stretch from base 1 to 105 matches the Rfam family "5.8S ribosomal RNA", at positions 50 to 154 of the family's 154-position model. The record is from RNAcentral.